UGAAAGAAAUUGAGGGGAGAGGAAGACGAUCGAGAAAUCUAAAAGAGGAGAAAGACGAGAGAGCGGCUAACCUCUCGCGGCGCUUUUGUUCUUUCUUCGUUCUCGUUCCUUCUCUCUUUCUCUUUCUCUUUCUAUCUCUUUCUUUCUUUCUUUCUUUCUAUCUCUCUCUCUCUCUCUCUCUCUCUCUCUCUCUCUUUCUCUGUUGGUUCAUUCCUCUAGUUCCCACACUCUCCACAGUUCGCCGCCGUUCCGUUUCGUUAUCUCUUCGAAAGCAGCGAAACGCGCGACAUACUUUGCUCCCGAUUUGUCUCUUCUAACAUCGCAAAAUCUGUUAAAUAUGUUCUUUUACGUACGUAGAUAUGUACGUAGAUAUAUUCAAACGUGUCCAUAUGUAGAUAGAAUGAACGAAAGAUUAAAAGAAGAAUGUAUUUAUCGAAGAUUACAAAAAUUAAAAAAAGAAAGAAGAAAGUAUUAGCCUCUAGAAAGUAUCGACGAAUAAAAGAGUAACCGAUCUUUUUUUACUACCAACGUACUUUUGGCUUAUUUUCAAUAUAAAUGUGGAUAUAUAUGUAUGAAAGACCACGUAUAAAUAUCGCGAUGCUUCGGUUUCCUUCCCAAUGGCCGACGUUGUUUCAUGUUCCAUCGCGCGAUCUAGACUUUCACCUUUUUGCCAAGAGACGAAGAAGGAAAUAACAGAUGAAAUCGUUGGAUCGUCAAUAACCACGACAGUGAUCGAUCAAUUUCUCUCACCAAAUUUCAAUCUUCAAACCAAAAAAACAAUUACGUAUCCUAGAUAUAUGAUAAAUGAAUGAUUAAAAAAAAAAAAACGGAAAAAAAAGAAAAGAAGAAAAAAUCCAGACGAAGAAAAAGAAAAAAAAGAAUAAGAAAAAGAAAACGAAGAAGAAGAAGAAGAAGAAGAAGAAGAAGAAGAAGAAAAUGCAGGGUCAGCGAGUGACUUUGACGAAAGGCAUUCCACAGGUGGUUUCGAACUCCCUACGUGCAACAACGUGCAUAGUACGUAUACAAUCACACAGUGGUAUAUAUAUAUAUAUAUAUAUACUUUCGAAAAAGUCCUCUCCCAAGCGAUUUAUACGUUUCCCAAUGACGUCAAUAAUUCUUCGAAGUGUCUGUGUGUGAUCGAGCAAAUCGUCCCAACGCUCCCCUCCCCUCCCCUCCAACAAUCCAUCC
Molecule: long non-coding RNA, 1188 nt
Organism: Vespula vulgaris
Lineage: Eukaryota; Metazoa; Arthropoda; Insecta; Hymenoptera; Vespidae
Exons: 3
Source: RefSeq, a predicted model, not a curated record